Molecule: transfer RNA, 71 nt
Filed under: Heterocephalus glaber (naked mole-rat)
Lineage: Eukaryota; Metazoa; Chordata; Mammalia; Rodentia; Bathyergidae
Rfam family: tRNA
About the family: Transfer RNA (tRNA) molecules are approximately 80 nucleotides in length.
Source: Rfam by way of RNAcentral
GGGGGUGUAGCUCAUGGUAGAGUGCUUGCCUAGUAUGCAUGAGGUCCUGAGUUCGAUCCCUAGCACUGACG